Molecule: ribosomal RNA, 492 nt
Filed under: uncultured bacterium
Lineage: Bacteria
Description: partial 16S ribosomal RNA
Rfam family: Bacterial small subunit ribosomal RNA
Source: RNAcentral
AGUGAACGCUGGCGGUAGGCCUAACACAUGCAAGUCGAACGGCAGCACAGUAAGAGCUUGCUCUUACGGGUGGCGAGUGGCGGACGGGUGAGGAAUACAUCGGAAUCUACUUUUUCGUGGGGGAUAACGUAGGGAAACUUACGCUAAUACCGCAUACGACCUACGGGUGAAAGCAGGGGAUCCUCGGACCUUGCGCGAUUGAGUGAGCCGAUGUCGGAUUAGCUAGUUGGCGGGGUAAAGGCCCACCAAGGCGACGAUCCGUAGCUGGUCUGAGAGGAUGAUCAGCCACACUGGAACUGAGACACGGUCCAGACUCCUACGGGAGGCAGCAGUGGGGAAUAUUGGACAAUGGGCGCAAGCCUGAUCCAGCCAUACCGCGUGGGUGAAGAAGGCCUUCGGGUUGUAAAGCCCUUUUGUUGGGAAAGAAAAGCAGCAGGUUAAUACCCCGCUGUUCUGACGGUACCCAAAGAAUAAGCACCGGCUAACUUCGUG